This 297-nucleotide ribosomal RNA is filed under the name uncultured bacterium. RNAcentral describes it as "partial 16S ribosomal RNA". It matches the Rfam family "Bacterial small subunit ribosomal RNA", at positions 337 to 647 of the family's 1533-position model. The record is from RNAcentral.
UCCUACGGGGGGCAGCAGUGGGGAAUAUUGGGCAAUGGAGGCAACUCUUACCCAGCAAUGCCGCGUGAAUGAAGAAGGUCUUCGGAUUGUAAAGUUCUUUAAUUGGGGACGAAAAAAAUGACGGUACCCAAGGAAUAAGCCCCGGCUAACUACGUGCCAGCAGCCGCGGUAAUACGUAGGGGGCAAGCGUUGUUCGGAAUGACUGGGCGUAAAGGGUGCGUAGGCGGGAUAGCAAGUUAGAAGGGAAAUACCUAGAGCUUAACUCAGUGGCUGCUUCUAAAGCUGCUAGACUUGAGU